RNAcentral lists this small RNA (1007 nucleotides) under Drosophila yakuba. RNAcentral describes it as "GE29208". The record is from RNAcentral. Lineage: Eukaryota; Metazoa; Arthropoda; Insecta; Diptera; Drosophilidae.
UGACCGACUCCAUUGAUGGGGCGGUGACCACCCAUCCAGCCCCAAUGCCCAUCAGUCCACAUCACAACCAUGCCCCCCCUUUGGCUGCUUUCAAAUCGCCGGUGGACACGUUGGAGCCAUCAAACUGGGGGACACAUGCCAGCAUCAGCUCUGGUAAUUUCGCCAUUUUGGCCUGGUUGUUGUGGUGGUAAUUUUCCCGCGACUGACGACUUUACAGCUACGCACUUAAAAGUGAAAAAAAUGAGUUGGACCGGUUUUUGCGCGGGGAAAGCUGCGCCAUCAACAAGUUUUCCCGUUUCCCGCCUGCAAAGUGCAGUUUCGCCAAGGAAACUCCGGCUCCGCGUGGAAGGAAACGUUACAAGGAUGUGACAGGAGCCUCCCACUAUCAACUACAUGCAAGCAAUAGUGUAUGUACAGAGAGAGAAAAUGCAAGCGAAUUUAUGGCAUUCUAAGCUAAUUUCUAUUGCCUGCGGAGUAACAACAUUAUUAUUAGAAUUAUACAAAUAUGUACACAUACACAACUUUGUAUCCGUCUCACUGUCGACUUGUCCAUCUGCCUGCUUGUUACAUCGUGAAAUGUGACAAUCUGCAGAGAAGUUGCAACGCAGGUGGAAGGAAGACAUCGAGCUGGAGGACUCCGGACUCAGGCACUCAGCUGUGCACGUUUAUGGACAACAUAAUGGCGGAAUCGAGUUGGGCGCAAUGUAACACCCACACGAGGAGGCGAAAGGAUAAAGACGUACAUAUGUACAUACAGGCAGCUAAGGCAGAGGCAAACAAACGCAAACUCCCGGAGAUAAAUCGCAAAACUGGGAGCUACCCAAGCCCGGCCAUCCAAUCUCACCCAGAAUUGCACCAUGGGAGGUAAAGUUCCUAUGUGUGUUAGUAUCUACUUUACACAACCAUUUGUACAUAUAUGUACAUAGUUAUUCGAAACCAACCAACAGAUUUAGUUAACCUUAAAGGUUUAAAUACCAUUUACAAAUUGAAGAGGAAAUACACCUAAG